This 305-nucleotide long non-coding RNA is filed under the name Brachypodium distachyon (stiff brome). Its description in RNAcentral is "long non-coding RNA (BDIS_LNC002781)". Lineage: Eukaryota; Viridiplantae; Streptophyta; Magnoliopsida; Poales; Poaceae. The record is from RNAcentral.
CAACAAUCCUCCGGGCUGCCGCCACCGACAGCGAUGCUGCCAGCUCUGCCGUCGUCUCCGUCAGAACCCCCUGUUUGUGCAUCCAUCCAUGGAUGCCAAUGGUAAGAGAGUCAGUUCAGACCACCACCAUAUCAUGCCAUGAUAAGAGAUCAAUUUAAUCAGACUGAAUAUAUUACAGGUGUGUUGCCGAUGGCGAUGCCGUUCCUGUUGGCAGCAUCAACGUCGACGUUGUUGUACCCAACCGCCAUGUUGCUAAAGGCUGUCCCUCCAGCGCGCUUGAGCGCCGAGAAGAGCACUUCCCCCCA